GAUGAACGCUGGCAGCGUGCCUAAUACAUGCAAGUCGAGCGAACGGACGAGAAGCUUGCUUCUCUGAUGUUAGCGGCGGACGGGUGAGUAACACGUGGAUAACCUACCUAUAAGACUGGGAUAACUUCGGGAAACCGGAGCUAAUACCGGAUAAUAUUUUGAACCGCAUGGUUCAAAAGUGAAAGACGGUCUUGCUGUCACUUAUAGAUGGAUCCGCGCUGCAUUAGCUAGUUGGUAAGGUAACGGCUUACCAAGGCAACGAUGCAUAGCCGACCUGAGAGGGUGAUCGGCCACACUGGAACUGAGACACGGUCCAGACUCCUACGGGAGGCAGCAGUAGGGAAUCUUCCGCAAUGGGCGAAAGCCUGACGGAGCAACGCCGCGUGAGUGAUGAAGGUCUUCGGAUCGUAAAACUCUGUUAUUAGGGAAGAACAUAUGUGUAAGUAACUGUGCACAUCUUGACGGUACCUAAGCAGAAAGCCACGGCUAACUACGU
Molecule: ribosomal RNA, 496 nt
Filed under: uncultured bacterium
Lineage: Bacteria
Description: partial 16S ribosomal RNA
Rfam family: Bacterial small subunit ribosomal RNA
Source: RNAcentral